GCGGUAGUCGUAUAACGGUUAGUAUACAAGACUGUGGAUCUUGUGGAGGGGGUUCGACUCCCCCCUACCGCC
RNAcentral lists this transfer RNA (72 nucleotides) under Candidatus Woesearchaeota archaeon. RNAcentral's name for it is "tRNA-His". It matches the Rfam family "tRNA". Rfam says of the family: Transfer RNA (tRNA) molecules are approximately 80 nucleotides in length. Their secondary structure includes four short double-helical elements and three loops (D, anti-codon, and T loops). The record is from RNAcentral. Lineage: Archaea; Nanobdellati; Candidatus Woesearchaeota.